This 376-nucleotide transfer-messenger RNA is filed under the name Burkholderiales. Its description in RNAcentral is "JAABQG01 sp014879655 Standard tmRNA". It matches the Rfam family "transfer-messenger RNA". Rfam says of the family: Bacterial tmRNA, also known as 10Sa RNA or SsrA, is named for its dual tRNA and mRNA-like properties. Its role is to liberate the mRNA from a stalled ribosome. To accomplish this part of the tmRNA is used as a reading frame that ends in a translation stop signal. Lineage: Bacteria; Pseudomonadati; Pseudomonadota; Betaproteobacteria. The record is from RNAcentral. RNAcentral also lists the same sequence under 1 other name.
GGGGCUGCAUUGGUUUCGACGCUGGUUGGAAUCGUGUCGGUGCAUGUCGAGCUGAAUGCGCUCGUAAAACAGAUUCAAACAAACUAACUGCAAACGACGAACGUUUCGCACUCGCCGCUUAAUUGCGUGUGAGCCUCACAACAGCAAGCCGAUAGGCUGGGCAAGGGUGGCGCAAGCUGUCCAGGCUGUGGGGUAAUUUCAUUCGGCUGGCUCCGGGUCGGGUACCUUGACCGGGGGCGAGAUCAUAGGGUACUGGCGUCCGGUGUAGCGUGCGACUGCGCGACAACGGUGGCGAGACUCAAAUCAGACCGCUAAACAUGUAGAUCUGCGCGAGGAAGGUUGGCGGACGGGGGUUCAAAUCCCCCCAGCUCCACCA